ACGGUGGGUGGCGGCUCCUCACGGGGGGGCCGGGGGCUCAGACACCCAGUUCCAGGCGCCAGGCCCAGCCCCGGGAGCAGCCCCGGGCCCGUGGGAGCCGGGCUGGGGGCAGCCGCAGGGCAGAGGCAGCGCGGAGUGAAAGGGGCGGGGCGGGGCGGAGCUGAGCUGCCUGGGAGCCCCACAAGCGGCAGCCUGGGGCCGCGGGGCCGGGCGAUGUCCCAUCCCGCGUGCGCAGGGACCGAGGGGCAGAAUCAGUCUGUGAAUUGUCGGUAGUUUAGGGGCUGCAGCCUCUUCACACACAGUCACUUUGUGAACUUCAGAGCAGCCCAGGAUCUAGCGAGGCCCCGCCCCGCUCACACCUUCCCCCUUCCUCCGUCACUCGCUCUCCCCGACCCUCGCUCACUUUCACCAGGUGGGAGGGGUGCAGGCUCUGGGCUGGAUUAACAUGGGGGCAAAUAAAAUCAGGACUUGUCCCUGUGGGGAGGGGGUUUCAGUUGUUCCUAAAGGUAGGGGGAGCUCUCAGUCUCUGUCUGAUUGUCUGUCUCUCUCUCUAUUGGGGUUGAGUUUCCUGGGUGAGAUGCUGCUGAUUCGGAAAGAGAUUAGACAUUUAUAUAGACAAUAUCAUCCAAACUUUGCUGAUCACUUCUUCAGAUAAAGAAUAUUUCUUCUCCCAACCCGCCCUGCCUCAUACCUACAGUACCCCGCAGCAACAAGAGAGUUCAGUGACAUGAAAAGUUAUCCCAGCCGGGGCCCCGCCGAAAAUGUUCGAAUUGGGCCCAGCACUUCCUAAAGCCGGCUCUGGCUGCCAGUUCAGCUCACAAGCUCCAGAAAUCCCAACAAGAACAGGCUGGCUGCCUCCUGUAGGCAAGACUUGAAAGCCAGAUGCCUAGUGUGAUGGAAACAAAUAGAAGGUGCAGAAGCUGACAGAAUGGAACAUGACAACAGCGAAGACGACGACCGCGGAGACACCUCCGAAGAAAUGCCCUAGAGCCCUUGGGCUAUCACGCUUCAGGAAUGUGCGUGAGGUACUAGGAGACCUGGAAAUGGGGGGUGUCCUGCUGGCCGUAGCCACUUUCGAUCUCCUGGCUUCUACCCCCCUACCCUGCUGGCAGGGCCAUUGUGCAGCACCCUUUCCAGCCUAUCUGGGUGCAGGAGAUGGAGGAAGAGAGCAUCUGCCAUCCAGCUCCAUCCCAUCUAGAGCAAUUCCAGGAUGGAGCGGUUGAAGCGGAUGCUGAGGAGGAAGGCUGGGCAGGUGGCUCUGGAGCCAGUAGGGAGCAGCGUCCAUCUUGCCCAGGAGGAGAGUGGCCCCUCUGUCCCCGCAGGCGGGGAAGAGGCCAGUGGGCAGGCAAAGUGGAGAAGCUCCCUGACCUUCUGAAGGAAGAGAAAAACACCAGCUCCCUUAGCAGGCCCUGAGGCACCUUCUGGUCCCAAAUGGAGGUGGCCUCGGAUGAUGCUAUGUAGGAGGGACCCAGGAGAGGGUGGGAGCCGGGCAAGGUGGCUCUGCGGCUUCCUUUCCAGGAAGCAGAGGAGCCAGAAGCCCAGCCCCAGGGCCCAGCAGGAGCCAUCCACCAGCCUGGCCACUGAGGAGCCCUCAGCCAGCCCAGAGCAGGAGCUGGGCAGCUCUGGCACGGGGACCAGCAGCUCCUCUGUGCGGUCUGACAGCCCUGAGGCUGAUGGCUCCCUCUGUGCAGAGACCCCCAGUGCCCAGCAGGAGUGGGCUGAGGAGGAGGAGGAGGAGCAUGUGUCCCCUGAACAAGACACCAUCAGGGUCAUCCAGGAGCACCUCCAGGGCAGAGUUAAAUUGGUGGCCAAACAGCUCCGCUUCCUCCAUACAGUCCCACGUUUGUGCUUUUCGGCACAGCAGCAGGGGCUGAACACUCUGGAGCCCCACUUCUCCAAAGCGGCCCUCGUGGAGAGCAUUGCGGAGCUGAUUGAAAAUCUGCCCGUGGUGCCAGAGCCAGCCUCCAUCAUCUCCAGCUCCAUGGCCACAUUUGAAGCCUCAGGUACCAGGACCGUCCCAUCUAGCUGCCCUAACCCUGGUGCUGAUCGGGUCUGGAGCCGGGAGUCCCAGAUCUUCUCUGGCCUAGAUUACCCCCAGCUGUGGCUGUUCACAUCCCCCCGCAGAGGAGGCGGGAAUGUUCCCCCUUUCCUGGCUGGGGGGUGAUUCACUCAACAAACUGAAGCCGCUGCUUGCCCUGGAGCUGGAAUCACGCCUCCUGCGGGCUCUUCUUUACACCAUCUUCACCAUAGGCACUGGGCAGGAUACCACCCACUUCCAGGCUCUGCACAAUACCUAUUUACAGAGCCUGGACGCCAUGCUCACUGAGACCCCCACUCCAGACAAGCUGCAGCACGUCUUAGAGGAGACUGUUAGCCAGUGAGUGGCCCAUCGAACGGACACUUAAUUCACAACGGACCAUGGGAGGCGCCCAUCUACACUGAACGGACUUUUCUGUGAACGUUCCAUCUGACGUAUCCUGCAAAGUAUCCAUCCUGCAAUGACUGAGCAAAAUCAGGCAUGGACGGGGACUUGCCCAUGUAACUCCAAGCUCCCAUCUUUCAGCUGUGAUUUUCCACUAGCUGUGCUGAGGACUUUGAAACAAUGGGUUUCCCUCCACAUGAGGGAAGUUAAAAGAGGCCCUGGAAACAUCUCCACUGUGCCUCUAUCCUGCUCCAGCCCCUGGACUAUGGACUUAUACUAAUGGGAGCAUCGAACCAAGGAAGAGGAACUUCCAGUGAUUUGGAAACACCCAAAGACUUAUCAAACCAGCAGUUUAUUCCAUCACUGCUAUAAGCCUGAACCAAGAACUUUGCAAUUAUUGUAUUUGAUUCCUUUAACCAAUUUUAAUUCUCACCUUUCUUUCUUUCUUUUUAUAAAUAAACCUUUAGCAUUUAGAUACUGAA
This is an RNA transcript of Gopherus flavomarginatus (Mexican gopher tortoise), 2904 nucleotides long. RefSeq lists it as uncharacterized. NCBI's taxonomy places the organism in Eukaryota, Metazoa, Chordata, Testudines, Testudinidae. The transcript is spliced from 12 exons. The record is from RefSeq and is a predicted model, not a curated record.